AAUCAACGCUGGCGGCGUGCCUCAGACAUGCAAGUCGAACGCGAAAGUCCCCUUCGGGGGGCGAGUAGAGUGGCGCACGGGUGAGUAACACGUAGGUAAUCUACCUUUGGAUGGGGAAUAACAACCGGAAACGGUUGCUAAUACCGCAUAAUGCAGCGGCACCUAAUGGUGACAGUUGUUAAAGCGGGGGAUCGUAAGACCUCGCGUCUGAAGAGGAGCCUGCGGCAGAUUAGCUAGUUGGUAGGGUAACGGCUUACCAAGGCGAUGAUCUGUAGCCGGCCUGAGAGGGCGGUCGGCCACACUGACACUGACAUACGGGUCAGACUCCUACGGGAGGCAGCAGUCGGGAAUUUUGGGCAAUGGGCGAAAGCCUGACCCAGCAACGCCGCGUGAAGGAUGAAAUCCCUCGGGAUGUAAACUUCGCAAGAACGGGAAGAAUAAGUAAGAGUUAAUAUCUCUUAUGAUGACGGUACUGUUUGUAAGCUCCGGCUAACUCCGUGC
RNAcentral lists this ribosomal RNA (501 nucleotides) under uncultured bacterium. RNAcentral's name for it is "bacterial SSU rRNA". It matches the Rfam family "Bacterial small subunit ribosomal RNA", at positions 32 to 508 of the family's 1533-position model. The record is from RNAcentral.